GACUGCCGGUGACAAACCGGAGGAAGGUGGGGAUGACGUCAAGUCCUCAUCGGCCCUUAUAGGGUGGGGCUACACACGUCAUACAAUGGCUGGUAACGAAAGGGUUGCCCAACCCGCGAGGGGGAGCCAAUCCCAUAAAGCCAGUCGUAGUCCGGAUCGCAGUCUGCAACUCGACUGCGUGAAGUCGGAAUCGCUAGUAAUCGUGGAUCAGCAUGUCACGGUGAAUACGUUCCCGGGUCUU
RNAcentral lists this ribosomal RNA (241 nucleotides) under uncultured Variovorax sp. RNAcentral describes it as "partial 16S ribosomal RNA". It matches the Rfam family "Bacterial small subunit ribosomal RNA", at positions 1147 to 1382 of the family's 1533-position model. Lineage: Bacteria; Pseudomonadati; Pseudomonadota; Betaproteobacteria; Burkholderiales; Comamonadaceae. The record is from RNAcentral.